AUGUCGUCGUCGAUCCCACCGCCGGCCUUCUCCUCUGCUUGCCUCCUCCGGUCCUCUUCCACGUCUCCGUCGAUCCAGAUCAGACCCUCUCCUUGCACGCCCCGUGUUCCUCCUUCCAGCCGAUUGGGCACAGACGCACCAACCCUAGCCCCCGAUGCAGCCAUCCACUCCUCCCUCCUCCCUCCUCCUCCCCCCUCCCCCUCCCAUAGCCGCCGCACCCGUCGCUUGGCCCCCUGGCGACGCCUGGGUCGGGGCUGGGAAGAAGGUCCGGGCCUGCGAGGGAAAGCAGCGAGGGUUGGUGUAGCGGCAAAUGCGGGCGGGAUUUGCGUGGAGGGAGGCUCGUCAGCCGGAACAACAGGAGCAAGGAGGUCGUGCAGGAGCGAAUGCUGGCGGGGUCGGCCAUGGAAGAAGGCUCGCUGGACGGAGCAUCAAGAGCAGGGAAGUCGAGGUGGUUCAGGUUUGCCUCUAUCUCCUCCCCACUCUAUCUCUGCCCUCUCUCUUAUUUUCCCCUUUGUCUCGUGGAUAAGGGCGUCAGUGCACCACGAGGAGUAG
This 552-nucleotide ribosomal RNA is filed under the name Triticum aestivum (bread wheat). RNAcentral's name for it is "partial small subunit ribosomal RNA". Lineage: Eukaryota; Viridiplantae; Streptophyta; Magnoliopsida; Poales; Poaceae. The record is from RNAcentral.